UACAUAGGGUGCAAGCGUUGUCCGGAAUCAUUGGGCGUAAAGGGAGUGUAGGUGGUUUUGUAAGUUAAAUGUGAAAUCCUGCGGCUUAACCGUAGAAUUGCAUUUGAUACUGCAGAGCUAGAGUGUGGAAGAGGAAAGCGGAAUUCCUAGUGUAGCGGUUAAAUGCGUAGAUAUUAGGAGGAACACCAGCGGCGAAGGCGGCUUUCUGGGACAUAACUGACACUGAGGCUCGAAAGCGUGGGGAGCAAACAGG
Molecule: ribosomal RNA, 253 nt
Filed under: uncultured bacterium
Lineage: Bacteria
Description: partial 16S ribosomal RNA
Rfam family: Bacterial small subunit ribosomal RNA
Source: RNAcentral